This 392-nucleotide long non-coding RNA is filed under the name Pongo abelii (Sumatran orangutan). Its description in RNAcentral is "lincRNA". Lineage: Eukaryota; Metazoa; Chordata; Mammalia; Primates; Hominidae. The record is from RNAcentral.
UGUUGAUUGUGAAAUGCCAGUUGAAGCAUAUGUCCUGUGAGCUUAGGGGUGCUACAGGUUGACCACUGCAGCAGUAAAGAUGACUCUGAAGAAUGGCAUGGGAUGGAUCCUUUCGAAUGCACUUGAGCAGCGGUCUCCAACCACAGGGCCACAGAGCUGGAGCUGGAUCUACCAUGAACGACUUCUGAAUCCAGGAAGAGAGACUGACUGGGCAACAUGUUAUUCAGAGUCUCCCUCUGUUGUCCAAGGCUGGAGUGUAGUAGUGCUAUCACAGCUGACUGCAGCCUCAACCUUCCAGGCUGAAGCGAUCCUCCCAUCUCAACCUCCCACGUGGCUGAGACUAUAGGUGCUUGCCACUAUGCCCAACUAAUAUUCGGAAUUUUCCUAUACGU